CUACGGGAUGCUCCAGUGAGGAAUAUUGCACAAUGGGGGAAACCCUGAUGCAGCAACGCCGCGUGGAGGAUGACGCAUUUCGGUGUGUAAACUCCUUUUAUGAGUCAAGAAAAUGACGGUAGCUCAUGAAUAAGCACCGGCUAACUCCGUGCCAGCAGCCGCGGUAAUACGGAGGGUGCAAGCGUUACUCGGAAUCACUGGGCGUAAAGGACGCGUAGGCGGGUUGUCAAGUCAGGUGUGAAAUCCUACAGCUUAACUGUAGAACUGCACUUGAAACUGGCAACCUAGAGUAUGGGAGGGGGAGAUGGAAUUAGUGGUGUAGGGGUAAAAUCCGUAGAUAUCACUAGGAAUACCGAAAGCGAAGGCGAUCUCCUGGAACAUUACUGACGCUAAGGCGUGAAAGCGUGGGGAGCAAACAGGAUUAGAUACCCGCGUAGUC
RNAcentral lists this ribosomal RNA (439 nucleotides) under uncultured bacterium. RNAcentral's name for it is "partial 16S ribosomal RNA". It matches the Rfam family "Bacterial small subunit ribosomal RNA", at positions 339 to 795 of the family's 1533-position model. The record is from RNAcentral.